UGCCACAAGAACAGAAUGCCAACUUUAACAA
This 31-nucleotide non-coding RNA is filed under the name Mus musculus (house mouse). Lineage: Eukaryota; Metazoa; Chordata; Mammalia; Rodentia; Muridae. The record is from RNAcentral.